This 1196-nucleotide long non-coding RNA is filed under the name Panax ginseng (ginseng). RNAcentral describes it as "long non-coding RNA (PGIN_LNC006627)". The record is from RNAcentral. Lineage: Eukaryota; Viridiplantae; Streptophyta; Magnoliopsida; Apiales; Araliaceae.
UUUUGAAUAAUAUGAAAUCUUAUUUCAUAUCUAAAUAAACUCUUUUAUUUAAGGAAACAUGGAAUUCAAUUUCAACUCCAAUUAGUUAUCAUGGAAUCAAAUUCCAACUCUAAUUAGUUAGCAUGAAAUCUAAUUUUAAAAUUAAAAUAAACUCUUUUAUUUUAAUAUUAAAAUAAACCUUUUAUUUUAAGAUUAAAAUAAAUUUUUUUAUUUUAAUUAUAAAAUUAUUAAGAAUAUAUAUUAUAUAUAUACCAUAUAAUAUAUAAGUAAAACGUUAUAUAUAUAUAUAUGAUUCCAUGCAAGUAAUCAUUUUGAAUCCUGCUAUCCUUUUAAUUCAAGAAACCGUGCACGUGGAGCAGGAACAACCUCCUUUACAAAUAAUCAAGACACGGAACAACGAGAAAAAACAAACAGUACCGUUUUUUUUGUUUUUUGUUUUUUUAAAUAAAUUUUAUACAAUAAAAUUAUGCUCAAUUAAAUUAUUCUAAACACAUAUCAAUAUACAUAUUAAAUUAAAAUAAUUAAUAAUUUGCAUAAAGGUUUGACUCUGAUACCACUGUUAAGUUUGUAAUAUUCAUGAACGCAAUCAAAUUGCAAAAAAUAAGUGGAAACGUGUAAAAUCAGAGUUUUAAAAUUUUACAAACCAUAUAGCCGAAUCACCCUUUAUGCGCAAUUAUUAAUUAAACGAAAAAGAAAGAACAAGAAUCAUACCCUUGAAGAUCCGAGCUUCCUCAAGUACAAGUUCACCUCCAAUCUUUUUCGCGUUCAACUUGAAUCCACCGGGUUUGGUUCAUUCCUUUGAUCAACGUUAGCCACCCAAGUGUUUGGCCUCUAGAGAUGAUCCACUAAGAAAGAAUAGAGAUUCAAGAAGAUGGGUAUUUGGCAAAACCCUAGUUUUUCUAUCUCUCAUAGAAAAGAGCGUAUUCUCCAACCAUUGGAAUUACGUCUGUUGUUAAAAAGUCAACAACAACUCUACACCCAAAAUAAGACCCCUCUUAUUUAUAGAUGUGGGCAACCAUCCUUAACAAUUAAAGAAUUGAGUUUUAUUUAAUUAAUUUAAUUCUUUUAAUUAAUUAAGCUCCCUAAUCUUAUUAGGGAUAAUUAAUUAAACUCUUUUAACUAAUUUUCCCUCCUAAUCCUAUUAGGAAUAAAUGAGAGUACUUAUAUUAAAUUAAUUCCUAAACUCUUUUAGAAAU